CGCAGGGGAGCUCGCGCCCUGCGGCUCCGGAUCCAGUCCUGACAAAGAAACUGAGGCAACAGUUAAAGCAGGGAAGCGCCUGACAAAGUUCAAGUUUCCUGUAUUUUAAGCCUCUUCAAACCCUGUUGGAAUGGAAAAGGGCAUUUCUAGGAGACCUGACUCCGAGAUCAUCCCCAGUUUCCCCAGUUAAGAAGAGGCAGGAAGCCAGGGGAGUUGCUAGGACCAGCCAACUGCCUGACUUCCCUCUGUCGCCUAAAUGCAAGAAGGAAGACUAUGGACAGUGCGGGCAUCCAGGACCUGGCACAAGAUGAAGGGAUGAGGAGACGCAGCCUACCAUGAAAUCCAAGACUACCCCCUCCCUCUACCGCGUCCACCUCAUCUGGGUCCUUUCUUCUUCAUUUGUCCUUUUCCAUAGCAGAUUCAGUACUUCUCUCACCACUGUCUCCUUUCCUUCUGCCUUCAAACAUCCACAAGUUUCCUUUUGUUCUGUCUCUUCUAUCUACUACACAGUCCUUGAGAUAGUGAUCUACACCCAUUACCUUCCUUCCUCUCCAUCACCUCUCCUUGACUCAGAAAUAUGUUGCGCCGUAUCCACACCUGCCAAAAUCCCUGCCACCUCCUAGCUCCAAACCCCAGCCUUUGCUCUGCUCUGUUCUUCCUGAGGCCUCUGCAGUUGACAAUGCCCAUAGACCUCUUUCUCAAGGUUGUCUUCUCUGCUGACAUCUGUGUCCACUCCCUCUCCAGUCCCACAGGAGUUUUCUUCCCUCGUUCCUCUUCCUCCUCUCCCACUCCCAGGGUUUGUCUGUCUGUCACUCUCUUUCACUCUCCACAUCUCCCUUGGGAGUCUCAUCUAAUCCAUUGCCUUCCUACCACCUCCAUCUCCUGGUUCAUAGUUCUAAAUGCCAGCUGCAUUUAACAUGUAACAUAUUUAAACCAAAAUUUUUCAACUCACUCCCACCCCAAGUAGCUGCUUUCUAAUGACUUUCAACAACUUGAGCUGCAUCUCUAAGAUACUUUGAAGCUUCAGGCCUGGCAUCCUUUGAAUCCUUCAACUUCCACACUGCGUCAUUAAAUCCUUCAGAAUGUCUCCCAAAUUGGUGCCUCUUUUCAGUUCCCACCACAGCUACAUUUCCUGGAUUGUUGUGUCCCUCCAUCAUCACUGCUCUGUGCAAACACCUCAGAGGUCCCCUGCUGCAUGUAGAUCGAAGCCCAGCCAUGCAGACUUCCUCCAAGCUGGUUCCCUCCCAUCCUUCCCCGUUGCAGAACAUCCCUCCCUUGUCUCCAUCCUGACCUUCCAUCUCA
RNAcentral lists this long non-coding RNA (1302 nucleotides) under Equus asinus (donkey). Its description in RNAcentral is "lncRNA (ENSEASG00005023577.1)". The record is from RNAcentral. Lineage: Eukaryota; Metazoa; Chordata; Mammalia; Perissodactyla; Equidae.